GUCAACCGUGGAGAUCCGGGAGUUAUAAGGUGCAGAUGACCGACAAAGUUCCACUGCAACACCGUAUCCUUUUGUGUUUGCUUUGCUAUUAAUAAUGUUAUUGCUCUCCUAGUUGGCAUUCUCGGGUAAGACUCCUCAUGAGCAUUAACCUCUGAGAUGAAGCAAUCCUUGUAAUGUCCUUCUAGUCGGACGAGCCACUAUUUGUUUGACUGAAAAUUUAUGAAAAUAUAUUUAUAUGGCCAUUCAUUCCAAAAGUACUAGUUCUACAUGUGUUUUCAAAGUAGCAAUUACCCGUGUCAUGAUUAUCACCUCAUGGUAACAUGCCAUUGUGUAAUCUAGAAUCAUGCAUACGCUAUGCAUAACUUACUUGACCUAUUUGAACUGUUAGAGCGUCUUGGAACCUCACUGGGCUGUGUAGCUCAUCCCACGUUGUGGUUUUCUUUUACAGGUUCUGACAACUGAGGAAGACUUGAGAUCUACUUGUACUUUAAGCAUGCAGUUUGAAUUAAACAAUGUAGCUUUUGUUUCGGGUUGCCACUUGAAGCUGGAAAAGUGUAACCCUUGAAUUUGUAUGUGGCUUGUAUGAAAUUUGUUACUUGGCUUAUAAGGAUGUAUUUGAAUUAUAUGUUUUGUUUCUAGGGUUGUAAUCGGGAAGGUAUUUUAAGAAUCGACGUUGGCUAUCUUAAGGCACUGUUAUCUCUGAAGUUAAUGUGAUUCUAGAAACCGGCCUAUUUGGAGGGAAACGAUGUUGUAAUAGAUUAGGUUAUACUUCGGAAGGACUUUUGCUAGUUGCUUGUGUGAGUCCUGGCGAGAGCUGGGCAGACGGCCCGCCAACCCUCUGGUUCGCCUUAGGGGGAAGUGGGGUCGCCACAGGUGGUAUCAGAGCUUAGGCUCUAGAUCUUUGUAGUGUAUCUUAGGCUUUAAGCAUAAGAUGCCGGACUGUGGAGUUUGAUUGUUUAGUAAGUAGAAUGUGAUCUUAAUACUUGAUGAUUGAUUGAGUAAUAUUGAAGUGUUUGUUUUUAAGGGGGUUUACACAAUAGGGUUUCUUUUAUUGUAAGAAACUGAAGAGAAUCGCGUGAGAUUUGAUUUGAAAAGUGAUAGUUGAGUUUUUGAACAUUGGUACUAGCUGAUAUCUAUAAGAUCGAAUUUGACUGGGUAAAUUGUAAGAUUCGAGGUAUCCUCUAGGCUUGUAAUCUUCGUAAGUAUAUAUAUGAAAUUGAAUGUGAAUCUUAGAUCGAUUGCUUGAUUGAGACAUUUUGUGAAAUUUUCUUUAAGGAAUGGUGGUGAUUGAGUUGAUUUGCAUCUGGAGAUGGCCAGUCCUAGUGCGAAUUGACUUGGUUCCCACUUGACGCUUAAGUGAGUCAGUUGUACAUAUUCCCUGAGUUUGAAAUGGUACUUGAGGCUUUAACUAGAAAUCCCAAGGUUGGUUAUUCUUGGAGAUGAACGCACUUUAGUUAUUGGUUGGCUUGUUAAAGAUUUUUAAACUUUGGAUAAAUGACCUCUGAUUUCAACUUGUAUUAUGACUUGAUUAGCUCUAAUUUCGUAAUGGUAUGCAACCUAAUUGAGACUAGUUUAACUUCUAUGUUAACUGUUAAUGUGCUAUUUGUGAAAAUGUUAUCUGUGGAUAUAGUUUUAUUGCUCAUUUUGAAAAUUGUUAAAAAUACGUGUGCAUAGAUAAUUUUUAGUUUAGUGAGCCAUUUGCACAUAAUUGUAGAGACUAGUUGUGAGAAUGGAAGCUGGGAGACGACGACGUGGACGUCAACCCAGACGACCUCAAAAUCAAGGAGGAGAUAAAGAACCUACCGCCGACCGAAACGCUGAACCUAGGGUUGGGGUAGAAAACCAAAUUGGGUUAGUUUUGACUCGCAUGAUAGACAUAAUAGAGCGAUUGGUACCCCAACAAGGCCAGGGAAUUGGACAAGUGAACCAACUUGGAAACCAAGAAAUAGGAGAGGAUAGGGCUUUAGAGAGAUUUCAAAAGUUUUUCCCUCCUAAAUUUUCUGGGGGUCCAAACCCCGAUAUAGCUGAGAAUUGGUUGGAAAAUAUAAGGAAUAUAUUUGAUGCACUAGAUUAUUCCGAGAAGAGAGAAGUAAAUUUCGCUGUAUUCCAACUUGAAGGACCGGCUCGAGCAUGGUGGAACGUUAUAAGAAAUAAGUGGGAAAGGGAACAAACUCCGAGAACUUGGAUGAAUUUUGUCCUAGAAUUUAAUGGGAAAUUUCUUCCACCACUAGUCCAAGAAAAGAGAGAAGAUGAUUUCAUAAAACUUCAUCAAGGAACUUUAAGUGUAGCUGAGUAUGAAACACGCUUUACAAAGUUAUCUACAUAUGCCCCAGAAUUGGUGGCUAAUGAAAGGAAGAGAAUAAGACGGUUUAUCCAAGGAUUAGAUUUGGAAAUCCAAGAUGCCCUUGCCGCAGCACAGGUUGAAACAUUUAGUGACGCUCUCGAAAAAGCGCAAAGGGUAGAAAUCACAAAAUCUCAACUGAGAGCUUUUCAAGCAAGGAAAAGGGACGCAUCUGACAGUACACUAGGAGAAAAUGGACCACCACCCAAAGUUAGAAAAGAAGUGGAUGGAGUAGGACUGUUACUUCCUGCACCACUCAGGAUAAAGGAACUAAAAGGAACUAUGUCGCGAGAGACUUCAGUAGGACAGGCACGAACAAAGAAAACCUCGCAAACAAGUCAGGUCACAACACCUCGUCCAAUUUGUGGAUAUUGUGGAAGGACGAAUCACCCUGAAGAAAACUGUUGGCUAAAGGGACGAAAGUGUAUGGGAUGUGGGAGUACUAGCCAUAAAGUUCAUGACUGUCCAAGGAGGUAUCCACGAGAAACCACUACUCAACAGGGAAAUGGAACUGUCCCUCGACAAGUCAAUGGAAGGAGGAACCGACCAGUGGCGUCUGAACGAACCCAUGACAUGAUCACACCACACGGUUCAAGGUUAUCCGAGAUUUCAGAAGGUAUGAAUUUCGAGGACGAAAUUCUCUUAAGGAGGGGAGGAUGUGAGAACCCUGAAAAAUAGACAUAUAAAUAUCAGUGCAUAUUUUAUUUGCAUUUUAAUUCUUUAAUAAAUUUUAGCACGAAGUCAAAUUGUUUCUAAAUAAGUAUGUAGAAUUAAAUGUUAUGUACAAAAUAAAAGAAUUGUGCUAAACUACUAAACUUCGUGGUUUUGUUACAUUAACUUCAUAUUUCGAUGGUAAACUAUUUCAUUGAUCUAAUCAUUAAUUUCUUCGAAUUCUAGAAUGGUAAUUAAUUGUUUUGAAAUAAAAGUGUAGAGAUAAUUUUUAAGUAAUAAAUAAUAUAAUUGUGCCAAUAUUGAAUUAUUCGGUUUUGCUAUAUUAAAUUAAUAUUUCUUGAGUUAGAUUAAUUUAUCGCCUUAAAAUAAAAUACUAAAAUACUUAGUUUCCUUAAUGUUGAGAAUUAAUGUUACCUGAGUAGAUUAAGUAUAUAAAAUUUCUUGAAUUUCUAUAACUAAUUCUAAAUUAGUGAAUAACGUUAAAUACUAAUAAGAAUGUUCACUAUGAGACAAAGCCUAUAAAUUUUAGAUAAACAUGAUACAAGUAUACUAAACAUAAUUAAGGUGUGAAAAAUUCGAUAAUUAAAGCCUUACAAGAUUAGCAUAUUACUAGGCGAUCAAAUUAUACUUGGGGAUAAAUUUUGGAAUUAAGUUAGAACUAAGGUCUUGAAUGGAGAUUAGGAAGAGAAGUGAAAAGACUAAAAUGCCCUUCACAAUCCACAAAAUCCCCACUACACCACAACCAUCACCAUGCACGGCCAAACACCCCUUCUGACAACAUUUCCAUCACCGCCCAAAUUGUCCAAUCCCAUUCUCUCCAAUUCCAUACGUAAACCAUCUCCACACUCAACCAAUUCCAACCACAAACACCUCUCAAAAACCACGGCACCCUCUUCAUUUCCUUUCCACUUCACAUCUCAAACCACAAUUGCAUUUCAUUCUGCCUUGCUAGUGUCGACAAACCGAGAGAGCGAGAGAGAGGCCGAGCUGCACUCUGCAGCCGAGUGGAAGAAAAGAAACCGCAGGAUUGAAUGUUUUUGGUUCUGGCCGUGAGUUGGAGUGAAACCAGGGAGAGCAAGUGGAAGUCGGAGGAGCUGCUGAUCAUCACCAUUUUCGUUCACUUCAGACCAACAUUUCCCAGCUGCAACCAUCUUCACCACAACACCAUUUCCAGCUGCAAAUCGAACCAGGACCAACCAGUGUGCGUGAGAGCCGGAGGGAGCAGAAAUUUUCCAGAUUUUCUUGCGUGAGCUUAGCUUGCUGUGAGGUAAUUUCUGGAUUCAUUUUAUGACUAAUCAGAGAUAGUUUGAGCUAUCUAGGGGCAUGCAUGUACUAGGGUACAGUCGGAUGAAUGAGAUUAAGCCAUUAGAAAAUUUCUGUUUUGGAUGUUGCUGUUUCUGCCGAGAAGUUGAGCCGAUAAUACAGUUUUAUUUUCAAUUUUCUGGGACAAUCUGAGCAUCUAAGUGUACUUAGCCGAAUGAAAACUUGAAGAUUAAUACCAUGAAUUAACCGAAGGAAAAGUUGGAUUUAUGACCAAUCUAAUUGCUGGAAAUCUGUUGAGUUGGCCGAGAGAGGGAAAGAAAGAAUUUCCAGUUUUUCUCUUCAAAUCUUGGCUGCAAAUUUCGUAUUGUAGUUCAAUAUACUCAUAACACAAUAAUCACCGUAUGCAUGCUGAGUUUGAGUGAACAAAGUAAUGAAUUUUGUUAGGGAAAGGUUCGUAUACCAAAUUAUCUAUUUGCUGCAAUUUUUCCAGCUUAGCCGAUGGUGGCUCUUUUGAGUUUUAAUGGAAACUUGGUGAGUGGGCUCUAUGAAUUCCCACAAUGACUUGGAUGAUCUGAUUAGCUAGUCAAGUAUUUGCUUGUCGGAUUUGAGUACUUAAUAUCAUGUAUUAGCCGAGUAAAAGUUGGUUUUAUGACCAAUUAGCUGCUGGAAAUUCUGUUUAGCCGAUGACAGAUUUAUUGUGGUGGAAUUAUUUGCCAAAAUUACAUGUUAUUUGUUUUAUUUCAUGUCGGAAAAUUUUGAUGGUGGGCUCUAUGAACUCCCACCCUUGGAUUGAUGAUGGAUAUAAUGCUAGUUUAGUGUUUAAAUAGAUAGAUUAAUGAUACCUAGCUAGUCUAGACUCCAAAAGAUGCAUCGUUCAAAAAUGUUCAGAUUUGCCCUGUUUUAAUCGCAACCCUUUUUGCAAAAUUUUGAGAGUUUCAUGACUUGUAUAUCAUGUUGAUAUGUUGAAUAUAUGGUGUACAAAGUUUCAUUGAAAAAUAUCGAGGUUUGGUUGGUCAAAUAAAUCGAUUUAACAAAGCUAGUAAAUCUGGAACUAUUUCCGAAAUGCUCUGACCAGCUUUCGUAUUUCGGCCAUAAUUUUGAACUCCGAUGUCGAAAUCGAGUGAUGUCAGCGGCAUUUGAAACUAGACAUUCCAACCUUUCCGACGAUAUAAAAUUCACAUUCUGGUUCCAUGUAUGUGAGCCAAACCAACUAUUUUAAGUCGGCUGUUCUGUUUCUCUGCUUUACAAGAACAAAAUGCUGAGGCUGCAACUUGUGACUCGAAUUCGAGCUAGUUGUGUGCCGAAUUUCAAAAUGAUUUCUUCUAUGAAAUUAUAGCUCUAUGAAUGUGUUUUCCAACGCCUUAAACCAUGCCAAAUUCCGAGUUAAUUUGAGUGAUCUGUGAUCAAAAUAUGAAACCUGCUCUGUCCUUGAAAACCCUGAUUUUUUAGACAGAUUUGAUGCAAGGUUUGGCAAAGACUUGCUAACUGAAUAUUUUGAUGCUAAACACUUACCAAAUGUACCAUGAACGUUCUUUAAGUUUUGCCUAAACAAAUGAACCAGGUUUGGAGGAAUUUUUCUUUGACCAAAUAUCUGAAAUGGAAAAACAAAAGGUUCAAGGCAGUUUUGUCUUAGUAUUUGCGAAAUUUUAGGUGUUUGAUUGACCACCUUUCCGAAGUUAUUUUUCCAUGAAAUUUGGUAGAGGAACAACCCUUAUAUGGUAGUGUUAUACUGCUAAUUAUGGUGUUAUUCCGAGACCGAUUCAUGGGUCAAAUAAAUUACCAAAGUUCGAGACUUGAUUUUUGGAAAACCCUUGUUGAACAAGAAAAUUUUAGUAACUUUGAGCUACCGUAUCUUGGUGCUCAAAACCCCGUUCCUCAUUCCGUUUGUUUUGUUAUACUCUUGAAUUACAACACUAAUAGAGUUGCAAAUUUCAAAAGCCAUUUCCAAACAAGUGAAUUUUGCCGAAUUUCCAAAGUUGGCCAAAAACCAACUUAAAACUGCCUUAUGAACCAAAACAGUAACUUUGAGCCCAUUUUGACUAUCUUCCAUUUAGAAUCAUGAAAAAGUGUAUUCUAGGAACUUUUAGUAUUUUGAAGGAAGUUUCCAACGGUACCAAGUUUUCCAAUCUUUGACAUGUAAAAGGUGAGCUAUGAUUUUUCAAAGUAUUGCAUCAAAACUGAAAUUUUCCGUAUUCCAAGGAAAUGGAGUUUUUUUCAAGUACUCCUUAUUCCUUCGAUAAUAUUCAAAUGUCUUAUCCUUGAAUUUCAUGAUGUAGACUUAAUUUCUCUUGUAUCUUGAAACCCCGCUUGAGAAUUUAGAUUUAGGAUAAUUAAGACUUGUUCACGAGAUUUUUCCUAAGUUUGUACUAUGACACGAUUUUCAGCAAUAGUAGGGAUUGUAUAUGAUAGACUAUUACUAUUCGUUCAGGCGCACGCGAGGACCUUUAAGAGGAUCCGACAGAGGACGCUUGAACUUCAAAUUGAACCUAUUGCCCUUGUUUGACUAGGUGAGUGUUCCAUAUAGGAAUAUAUAAUUGAGUAAGUCUAGGACAUGCUCAUUUCAUGAUCGUUAAGUAUUUACCAUACUCGUGCCUAUUUAAGAAAUAUAUAUAUGCAUUGCAUAUCGACAUGAAUUGGUUAAAUGAUUAACCCUAUCAAAUAAUCUUGUAAACUCAAUAUGUGCUUAGCCUGCUUAUUUUAUGCUUAUUCGGUUAAAGUGCUCUUGUAACUCGUUAUGUGACAAUUUGAAAAAUGAGUUCCGAUCCAUCGAAGUGCGCAGUGUGUACUUUAUCACACUAGCCGUUCGAGUGGUGAAAUGUGUGAAAUAUUUACUAAUGAAUCUGUGAAUCUAAAUGUGGUUGCGUCGUUGGGGUGAAUCUCCUCGACUCUUACGUGGUAAAAGUGCCAAACGGCCAAUGGCGGCCUAUUAAAAUGACAUAUGUCUACCAAUUAACCGUAAUUACCACCAUUUACCGUUUACCGUUUACCGUUUAUCGUUUACCGUUUACCGUGUUUACUUACCGUUUUCUAAUAUAUGUGGUUACUGAUUUCUUGAUUAUCAAAAAUUAUAUGCUCAUAUGAAGUUGUCCAUCAUUGUUAGGCGAGUGUGUACUUUACCUCCCUUGACCUAUUCAAAUGAUGAAUUUUACUUUUGUCGAAUUACUUUGUUACCUGUGCAUGUUGUAAGCUAUAAGCUGAACUUGGGCCCCGCCUCGGUUAUUGACCUACUCGAGCCAGCACUGGGCUCGGUCGGGUAGGUUGAAACCCUGGACAACCGUUUCGGUAUACUCGAGUAUUACCACUGGAGGGAUAAGGUGAUGGCCAGUCAACCGUGGAGAUCCGGGAGUUAUAAGGUGCAGAUGACCGACAAAGUUCCACUGCAACACCGUAUCCUUUUGUGUUUGCUUUGCUAUUAAUAAUGUUAUUGCUCUCCUAGUUGGCAUUCUCGGGUAAGACUCCUCAUGAGCAUUAACCUCUGAGAUGAAGCAAUCCUUGUAAUGUCCUUCUAGUCGGACGAGCCACUAUUUGUUUGACUGAAAAUUUAUGAAAAUAUAUUUAUAUGGCCAUUCAUUCCAAAAGUACU
RNAcentral lists this long non-coding RNA (7859 nucleotides) under Coffea arabica (coffee). Its description in RNAcentral is "long non-coding RNA (CARA_LNC003737)". The record is from RNAcentral. Lineage: Eukaryota; Viridiplantae; Streptophyta; Magnoliopsida; Gentianales; Rubiaceae.